GGUGUUGGUCGAUUAAGACAGC
This 22-nucleotide non-coding RNA is filed under the name Arabidopsis thaliana (thale cress). The record is from RNAcentral. Lineage: Eukaryota; Viridiplantae; Streptophyta; Magnoliopsida; Brassicales; Brassicaceae.